RNAcentral lists this ribosomal RNA (494 nucleotides) under uncultured bacterium. Its description in RNAcentral is "partial 16S ribosomal RNA". It matches the Rfam family "Bacterial small subunit ribosomal RNA", at positions 28 to 507 of the family's 1533-position model. The record is from RNAcentral.
GACGAACGCUGGCGGCGUGCUUAACACAUGCAAGUCGAACGGAAAGGCCUGCUUUCCCUUGUGGAUUGCGGGUACUCGAGUGGCGAACGGGUGAGUAACACGUGAGUGAUCUGCCCCCAACUUGGGUAUAAGCCUGGGAAACUGGGUCUAAUUCCCGAUAGGACUGCAGGGUGGUGCCUGUGGUGGAAAACGAUUUUCUAGUGGUUGGGGAUGAGCUCGCGGCGUAUCAGCUUGUUGGUGGGGUAAUGGCCUACCAAGGCGGCGACGGGUAGCCGGCCUGAGAGGGUGGACGGUCACAUUGGGACUGGGACACGGCCCAGACGCCUACGGGAGGCAGCAGUGGGGAAUAGUGGACAGUGGGCGGAAGCCUGAUGCAGCGACGCCGCGUGGGGGAUGACGGCCUUCGGGUGGUAAACUCCUUUCGACCGGGAGGAAGCCACCUGGUUGGAAGGGUGGUGACGGUAGUGGGAGAAGAAGCACCGGCUAACUACGUG